Molecule: ribosomal RNA, 497 nt
Filed under: uncultured bacterium
Lineage: Bacteria
Description: partial 16S ribosomal RNA
Rfam family: Bacterial small subunit ribosomal RNA
Source: RNAcentral
GAUGAACGCUGGCGGCGUGCCUAAUACAUGCAAGUCGAACGAACGGACGAGAAGCUUGCUUCUUUGUUGUUAGCGGCGGACGGGUGAGUAACGCGUGGAUAACCUACCUAUAAGAGUGGGAUAACUACGGGAAACGGGAGCUAAUACCGGAUAAUAUUUUGAACCGCAUGGUUCAAAAGUGAAAGACGGUCUUGCUGUAACUUCUAGAUGGAUCCGCGCUGCUUUAGCUAGUUGGUAGGGUAACGGCUUACCAAGGGAACGAUGCAUAUCCGACCGAAGGGGGGGAUCGCCGACAUGGGAACGGGACCACGGUCAAGAGGCCUGCGGGAGGCACCAGAAGGGAAUCUGAGGCAGUGGGGGAAAUCCUGACGGAGUACCGCCACGUGGGUGAUGAAGGUCUUCGGAUCGUAAUGCUCGGUUAUUAGGAAUAAACAGAUUUGGAAGGUACUGAGCACAUCGUGACGGUACCUGAUCAGGAAGCCACGGCUAACUACGUG